Molecule: long non-coding RNA, 230 nt
Filed under: Lathyrus oleraceus (garden pea)
Lineage: Eukaryota; Viridiplantae; Streptophyta; Magnoliopsida; Fabales; Fabaceae
Description: Pisum sativum (pea) long non-coding RNA (PSAT_LNC034564)
Source: RNAcentral
GUAUUAUGUGUUUCUGAACUCUUUUUUGAAGACUUCCGAUUUGCUUUUGUUUUUUGUUUUUUUUGUUUUAUUUUUUGUUUUAAUCUUUUAUUAUGCAGGAAUGGAAAAUCUUCCCCAAAUAUGUGUAAAUACUACUGAUGCAUUUAUAACGACUGAAAGAUUUGGUACACGAGAAGAGGUGAUCAGAUGGAUUAAAGAGGUUGGAAUCGAUAAUAAAGUAACUGUUAUUA